CUUCUCAUUUAGGUCAUGUGCCACACACGUGUUCAUUUAAAAUCCUAUUUGAAAUUACAACUAUGCCAUUAAAUUUCCAUGUGCAACUCACAUGUCUCCUAAUUAACACUCAAUCUCUUUCUUUUUUCUGCUCGACGCUGAUUCCUACCCCAAUUCAAAAUAAAAUAAAUAAAUAAAUAAAUAAUUCUCUUUUCUUCUUUUUUCUUCUUCGCUUCCACCAAUUCAAGAACACCUCCAUGCACUUCCAACUCUACCCGCCGAAAUUUUCAACAAAUUUCACCAAAUAUUUAGAAAUAAAUAAAUAAAUAAAUAAAUUUUGUCAUUCACACUAAUCCAACCGAACCCAUCACUUUCUCUUCUACAUAAAAUUUUUCUUCUUUUCUCAUCACGAAGAACAACAAGACUUCUCAUCCAAAUUGUGAAGAAAAUCAAGUGGGUAUCUCACAAAAGCGAAGAAAUUGUCAAUUAAGGAGCAAAUUUUACCGAAACGCAAAAAAUCAAUGGAAAAAUUUAACCAGGUUAGUCAAUCUGUUUACUAGUGAAACGGAUAAAGAACAACUCGGCUUAAGGUCAGCGCGUAGGUCCACAGGUCAGGUUUUGGGUUAAUCAACCAAUCUAUAUAAACUUGUUUGUAUGUGGGCCUGUGGGCUGUAGCUUGAAAAUUUGCUGUGUUGUAUUUAGCUAAGCCCAUGUUAAAGCUCAGCUUAUGUGUAAGUUGGCUAGUAUUUCAACCCAGGUUCAAACCCUGAUAUCAAAAGCUUAGCCCAUGAGAUGUUGGCCCACAAGAGAAGAAUUGGAGUGCCACAUGUUAUGUUGUGACACGUCACCAUGACAUGUCACUAUAAUGCCAUAUCACCAUGCCACAGCAACAUAAUGCCACAUCAUCAUGCCAAGUAGCAUGACAUCGAUGACAUUAGCGUGAGGUUAGCGAUGAUGUCAGUGAUGAUAUCGAUGUUGGUGGGUGUAUCGAAUAAUUCUUUGGAUGUAUAUAACAAUUUUGUAGUGUACACAGCAAUGUUAUAGUGUAUACAACAAUUUUAUGGGUGUGCACUGUAAUUUUGCAGGUGUAUACAGUAUUUUAUGGGUGUAUAUAGAAAAAUUUAGAAAAAUCGCAUUGUUUUAUUUUCUUAUUGAAAGUUGGGUUUGAUUAGUUUGUUGGGGUUUUAAACAGCAAUUAAUUGAUUUCUAUAUUGUGUUUACAAAAAUGACAAGUGGAUAUGAUAAUGUGACUUGUAAUA
This is a long non-coding RNA of Ziziphus jujuba (common jujube), 1238 nucleotides long. RefSeq lists it as uncharacterized. The transcript has 2 exons. The record is from RefSeq and is a predicted model, not a curated record. Lineage: Eukaryota; Viridiplantae; Streptophyta; Magnoliopsida; Rosales; Rhamnaceae.